Molecule: long non-coding RNA, 220 nt
Filed under: Mytilus galloprovincialis (Mediterranean mussel)
Lineage: Eukaryota; Metazoa; Mollusca; Bivalvia; Mytilida; Mytilidae
Source: RNAcentral
AGAACUCUUCACAAACAAAACCCACAUGUAUACGCAUUAAAUAAAUAGUAGGCCAUUCUUAAAUGAUCACACCGUAGAAGUAGUUGUGCUCUUAAUCAAUGAGAUAUUUUGUGAAUUAACCCCAUCAACUUGAUAGUUUUUUUUUACAAUGGAUAAACCUAUUUUUUUAUUAUUAUUAAAUAAUAUCAUCUCUGAACAUUAUUAUUCUUAUAAAUGACAC